Molecule: ribosomal RNA, 492 nt
Filed under: uncultured bacterium
Lineage: Bacteria
Description: partial 16S ribosomal RNA
Rfam family: Bacterial small subunit ribosomal RNA
Source: RNAcentral
AGUGAACGCUGGCGGUAGGCCUAACACAUGCAAGUCGAACGGCAGCACAGUAAGAGCUUGCUCUUACGGGUGGCGAGUGGCGGACGGGUGAGGAAUACAUCGGAAUCUACUUUUUCGUGGGGGAUAACGUAGGGAAACUUACGCUAAUACCGCAUACGACCUACGGGUGAAAGCAGGGGAUCUUCGGACCUUGCGCGAUUGAAUGAGCCGAUGUCGGAUUAGCUAGUUGGCGGGGUAAAGGCCCACCAAGGCGACGAUCCGUAGCUGGUCUGAGAGGAUGAGCGGCCGCACUGGAACGGAGACACGGUCCAGACUCCUACGGGAGGCAGCAGUGGGGAAUAUUGGACAAUGGGCGCAAGCCUGAUCCAGCCAUACCGCGUGGGUGAAGAAGGCCUUCGGGUUGUAAAGCCCUUUUGUUGGGAAAGAAAAGCAGCAGGUUAAUACCCCGCUGUUCUGACGGUACCCAAAGAAUAAGCACCGGCUAACUUCGUG